Molecule: long non-coding RNA, 257 nt
Organism: Apodemus sylvaticus (European woodmouse)
Lineage: Eukaryota; Metazoa; Chordata; Mammalia; Rodentia; Muridae
Exons: 3
Source: RefSeq, a predicted model, not a curated record
UUUAAAAUGAAGAUGCAGUUUGCCAAAAGAUAUUGUGGUAAAGACAAAGUAUUAAGAACACAAAGAUGAAUGUGGUCAGUGAGAUGGCACCGUAGGUAAAGUGUGUGUGGUCAGUGAGAUGGCACCGUAGGUAAAGUGUGUGUGGUCAGUGAGAUGGCACCGUAGGUAAAGUGUGUGUGGUCAGUGAGAUGGCACCGUAGGUAAAGUGUGCUGUGCAAACUGGGCAAUCUGACAACCUGGGGUCAACCUUGGAUCCC